CUCUCAAGCAUAUGAAUGCUGUAGACAGUUGAAUAGGAACCAUACGAAUAGGUUUACUCUCCUAGCAGUCAAACUGGAACAGCAUACAAUAAAUCCACCCCCAAUAAUGAGACGACACUUCACUUUGAGGGUUAAGCAGGAACUCCCUGUACUGUCACAUACAGUCUCUUUUAUUCCCAAUCCACAAACAUAGUACAGCCCACAGGGCGUUACAAAACA
Non-coding RNA from Pelobates cultripes (western spadefoot toad), 219 nucleotides. The record is from the annotation of a GenBank genome assembly. NCBI's taxonomy places the organism in Eukaryota, Metazoa, Chordata, Amphibia, Anura, Pelobatidae.